CAAACCAAAAGACUGGCGACCGGCGCACGGGUGAGUAACACGUAUCCAACCCUGCCUCAUACUCGGGGAUAGCCUUUCGAAAGAAAGAUUAAUAUCCGAUAGCAUAUAUUUCCCGCAUGGGUUUUAUAUUAAAGAAAUUCGGUAUGAGAUGGGGAUGCGUUCCAUUAGUUUGUUGGGGGGGUAACGGCCCACCAAGACUACGAUGGAUAGGGGUUCUGAGAGGAAGGUCCCCCACAUUGGAACUGAGACACGGUCCAA
RNAcentral lists this ribosomal RNA (258 nucleotides) under uncultured bacterium. RNAcentral's name for it is "partial 16S ribosomal RNA". It matches the Rfam family "Bacterial small subunit ribosomal RNA", at positions 80 to 334 of the family's 1533-position model. The record is from RNAcentral.